Molecule: unclassified non-coding RNA, 298 nt
Filed under: uncultured Sordariaceae
Lineage: Eukaryota; Fungi; Ascomycota; Sordariomycetes; Sordariales
Description: sequence contains ITS1
Rfam family: 5.8S ribosomal RNA (bases 1-105)
Source: RNAcentral
GAAAUGCGAUAAGUAAUGUGAAUUGCAGAAUUCAGUGAAUCAUCGAAUCUUUGAACGCACAUUGCGCCCGCCAGUAUUCUGGCGGGCAUGCCUGUCCGAGCGUCAUUUCAACCAUCAAGCUCUGCUUGCGUUGGGGAUCCGCGGCUGCCCGCGGUCCCUCAAAAACAGUGGCGGGCUCGCUAGUCACACCGAGCGUAGUAACUCUACAUCGCUAUGGUCGUGCGGCGGGUUCUUGCCGUAAAACCCCCCAACUUCUAAGGUUGACCUCGGAUCAGGUAGGAAUACCCGCUGAACUUAA